Molecule: long non-coding RNA, 1905 nt
Organism: Dendronephthya gigantea
Lineage: Eukaryota; Metazoa; Cnidaria; Anthozoa; Malacalcyonacea; Nephtheidae
Exons: 3
Source: RefSeq, a predicted model, not a curated record
CUCAAAGAGAUAAGAUUAAAGAAGUAUUGAACCAUUUGAAGUUAAAGCGAUUACCUUUUAACGCGAAUUUUUGAAGUUGAGGACAGAAAAUUACUUUGUCAAAAACAAACAUGGCGCAACAGGAAAUGCCGAGAGAAUUUAGGCAAGAUGAACAAUAUGAAAAUGAUAUGGAAAAUGUUGAAGAUUUUCAAAUGGUGCAGCGUAGGGUUGUCGCAUGCCUACAGACACGUCAACGAACUAUUAAAGUCUUCAGAAGUAUUGCUAAAGAGGCUGAUACCAUUCAAAAGGGCUGUUUUGAGACAAACCGGGAUGCGAAUAUAACUUCAGCAAUUGGAGGGGUGUUUGGAGUUUUAGCCGGUGGUAUAACACUUCUCACAGGUGGCACUGCAGCGCCAUUCGUAAUCGGUACAUGUGCUGGAGGAAUUUGUUCUUUAAGCGGUAGUUACUCGAUUAUAAUGAAUGAAAAAGAGCGAGUUAAGCGCAUGAGCGAUUUGGAAACGAGGUUAACGAACCAAAUAACCGAAGACAAUAAAGCAGUAGAAGAUUUUAAGGCCAUUACUUGUAGGAUACGAAAUGGCGAUUAUGGAAACCCUUUCCGUAUAUUUCGCGAUUUACACGUGACCGCUGUUUCUUUGGGUAUCGCUCUGAUUGUAUAUGACGUGGGAUUUGCACUUCCGCCAAUAUUUUCUUUUCUUGGAACGGUAAUGCAAGACAUUCUCUUACAGUUGAUGCCAAAGAUAUUUGGUGCGGCAUUUGGAAGUACUGGGCAGGAAGCCGCAAAAACGGCGGUUAAAGCAAUUUCAGAGAAAAUAACAAAAGAAGGAGCAAAGAAAUCAGUAAAAAAAAAUAGCAGAGGAAACAGCUACGACAGUUGCUAAGGAAGGAAUAAAAACAGCAGCAAAGAGGACAGUGGGUUUUGGUCUCCUUACGUGCGCGUGGGAAGGAUAUAACGCGCGCCAGAAUCACAACGCCUCAAAAGAAGAAUCACAACUUGGCAAAGAGCUGCGUGAACUAGCAAACGAUAUGGAAAAUAACGAGAGAACAGCGGUAAAGGAAGGUGGUGAACGUGCUGAAUAAAAGUUGAUUCGAAAGUUGUUUAAAACACACUUAAGUUUAAAUCUCAGUUUGAACUUAGUGGGCAAGUUCUGAAUCAAAAUUGAAAUUGGAUUUGUAUCGAGUUAUUUAAAAUGAAAAAAAAGAGAAUUCUGACUACCGCGCAAAAGACUGGGGCGAAACUGUGUGCUGAUGUCACAAUAUAGAAACUCAUCUGAGGCGACAUUUUAGCAAACAGCGCAAAAGUGGUUACUCUCACUAAUUUAUCAUAAGCACAUCUAAGUGGGCACAAUUUUUGAAAAAUAUAGCUAAAGAAUGUAAUAACAAGGUGGCGUUCUGGGUUAUAUACGCGCGAUUUGAUGUUUUGUUUGCGAUAGAAGGAGAACCUAAAACCCUGGGUACGAGGUUGAGAACCUAAGAGAAGCGUUACAUUUCCCAAUUGUUAUCGCGAUAAUUCUCACAUGGUUUCCUCGUUGUGUAAGUGUUUGUCGAACUAAAGUAAUUUCUUGGGAAGCGUUUGGGGACACUUAUAUGCAAUGGAAAGAAACCAAGAGAAGAAAAACAGACAAGCGUGGUUCAAUUACACACUACUACAUAAGUUACACGUUUUAGAAAUACCCGAACUUAAUAGUACGCGCAACAGGAAAACCUUAAACAAAAUGGUAUUGAUAUAACGUAUAAAAAUACAGUGCAAAUGUCAAGGUGAAUUGUAUGUGCGUAAUUACAAACGACGACCGAUAUAGACAAAGCUUUAGAAAACAAAGUUCCAACAACAUUUCGGAGUCUGGUAACAUCUCUAAACUUGAUAAAUACAUAUUUCUGCUAAAUUUAAUCACAGAUUGUAGCCUGCAA